RNAcentral lists this ribosomal RNA (253 nucleotides) under uncultured bacterium. RNAcentral describes it as "partial 16S ribosomal RNA". It matches the Rfam family "Bacterial small subunit ribosomal RNA", at positions 524 to 776 of the family's 1533-position model. The record is from RNAcentral.
UACGAGAGGUCCAAACGUUAUUCGGAAUCACUGGGCUUACAGAGUUCGUAGGCGGUCCAGAAAGUGGGGUGUGAAAGCCCUCGGCUCAACCCGGGAACUGCGUCCGAUACUGGUGGGCUCGAAUCCGGGAGAGGGAUGCGGAAUUCCAGGUGUAGCGGUGAAAUGCGUAGAUAUCUGGAGGAACACCGGUGGCGAAGGCGGCAUCCUGGACCGGUAUUGACGCUGAGGCGCGAAAGCCAGGGGAGCAAACGGG